UCUUAUAGGACCCAUCACUGUCUAACAUACCAUAUAACUUAUUUUAUUAUUGCCUCCCUCUGUUAAUUAGACUAUAUGUGUGGAUGAUAUACCUGUUUUAUUUGUUUUUAGCUCUAACUCCACCGAGAAGAGUAAGUCCUUAAUAAAUAAUAAGCCCUUAAUAAAUGUGUGUAGAAGAAAAGGUGAUUGGGGAAAAAAAAUACAUCCUGAAAAUCCAAUCUGUUCACAAGAUGGGAAUGUCCUGGAAAGGAUUAUGGUCAUUUUAAGACUAAAACGAAUGACAGGAUUGGGAGAACAUCACACAAUGAGCAUCUGGUGCCUCUGAGAUUCAGGCUGACCUGUGGAUUAUUACACCUGCCACUGGGCAUCAGGCUGGCUCAGUGGACCUGGUCAAUACACCUGGAAACUUGAGGAUGUUCCACAAUAUCCUUUGAUCUCCUAAGGGCCCACGCUCAUUUCUGUGGGUGCAAGAAGAGAAGAGGCCACGUGUCACACACUGCUGAUCUACCCAUCGGCAGGAAUAAGGGAAGGCAGUUUGGGUAAACGAGGUCAGACUGCUGGAUCAGAGCUCUGCCUGAAUCUGCUGUAUUUUAAGAGACGCCUACCACACAAACACUGGCAUAAUAAAGGAAAAAGAUGGAACUUUCAGUUUUUCUUGCCUUCUCGCUCGAAUGAACAGUGAGUUCAGCAAAAUACAGAUACACAAGGAAAGCAAAGCAAGAGAUAGAGAUAAACCAUAUUUGGGAAUGCACUGAAUCCGUGGGGCUUGUUUUAAUAUAUUAAUGAGCCUAAACAAGAAGAAUUAGGUGUGCUGAGAGUCAAGCCAGGUUUGGAUGAAUCCUGUAAUACUGCAGAAAGAAUAAAACAAACCCAUUUGUGUGUGGGGUGUGUGUGUAUGUGUGUGUGCACUGUGUGUGUGUCUGUGGUGUAUGUGUAUGUGUGGUGUGCCUGUGGGAUGUGUGUGUGUGUGUGUGUGUGUGUGUGUGUGUGAAUGAUUCAUCAUCACUUUACAUAUUUUAGAUGGAAAUGGGGGAGGCUUCCAGACUGACAUUUGUGGAGUCUAAAGGGGUGAAAAACUCUUUCUCUUAAGACGAAGUCAGUGGCUUGAGGGAUCUGGAAGACUGUCCCUGUGACGUCGUGGGAGAGCUGGUCCCCAAACCGAGGCUGUUGACUCUGCACUGAGAUGCUGUUUCACCUAAUUUCAAUCUGAAUAGCAAUCUCCAUGGUUGACACCAGUCAGGUCAAAGCAGUUCUGUUCGCUCCAUUUCUUCAUCAAGACGGACCCCACCCAGCAGAGCUCCUCCUCCCUUUGCUGUGCCCUGGCUCCCUUAGAUGGGAACCUCCCAGGGCGCAGACCAUGUCUUACUCUGUUUCUCAUCUUCCGAACGUCAGCUAUGUUGCUCUUAAUGCAAUGGUACCUUUAUAAAUAUUUGAUGAGACCUGCUUAUGUCCAGAAGCAUAUAAACAGCACUCGGAGUAAAUACACAAAGUUGACUUAGUCUCUACCAGCAGGGAGUAGUAUGGCCCGUGGCAAGUCGUUGUGCAACAUAAACAUGGCAAAGGGGCAAUACCUUCCUCAGGAACACAAAGGGCCAACUCCAACCACGUUAACCUUAAAGACAGGAAUAGGAAAGAGAACUGCAGCUACAUUUCUUCCAUGUGAUGACGUGGCUGUCAAGCCCUCAGCACAGGCUCACAGUCCCUGUAAAUCAAUGGCGCUGUGCUUCCUGUCACUUGUUCUAUGACAUCGGAUGGUUUGGUUCCCUAAAAACAGAACCCAGGGAGCAGAAUAGAAAUGAUUUGUGUGAAGCCCUUGCUUUGGUUUUGCUAACACAGCCACACUCGCCACCUCCCCAACCCUAAUCGGUGAUGCCUGGUCAGUGACAACCGGGACACAGGUGGUGACACGUGUGAUUUGAGGCCUUUGCCACAACUGUGAAAAGGUACCUAUUUUAAGACAGCCAUACUAUCAGUACUUAAUGGAACCCAAUUGUCUUUGAAAAUGAAUGAGGUGUUUGGCUUUUUUUUUCUACGUUGAAUAUUUUAGAAAACACCUUCUCAAACAUAAGGGUCAACCCUUGUGCUCCAUCAAGUUUCCAACUCUGUUUAGUGCUACUCCUCCCCUAGUCCUCUCCUCUCCAAUCAAGUGAGCCAUUCCAUCUUUGGUGCUUUAUCAUGAGCUAAGAAGGAGAGAAAUAAAGAUGGGUAAGAUAUGGCUUAGUGUCGGGAAAACACAACUGAACUUGUACUUCUUUAGUCAUUAGUCAUUAAGCCUUAGAUUCUCAUCAUCCACUAGCAAAGCUCGUUUGGUACAGCUGUCACUGUCUCCUUUAUUUCUAUUGGUGGCUUUUUCUGGCUGUCAUUUCCCUGCCUGACUUCUUUCACAUAUUCAUUGAAAAGUUAGCACGGAUGGGUCUUUAUCCUGGGGCCUGGGAGAUACUUUAGAGAACAAAGAGACCAAAAUCCUUGUCCUAAUGGAGCUUACAUUCUAGCGUGAGAAGACACAACAAAUAGGACAUGAAAAAUAACAUGGCAGACGGUGAUAAAUGCAAUGGAGGAAAAUAAAGCCAGGAAGGGGAUUGAGGCAUUUUAUAUGGGAGGUGGGGAUUGUAAUUUUAAAGCUGUUGAUGGGGGAAAGUCUUGCAAAGAUGUUAUUUGAGCAGGCACUUGAAGGAGAUGCUGAGGAGCCAUGUGGAUGCCUGAGAGAGCCCCUCCAGACAGGGAGAACAGCACAUGCAAAGGCCCUGGGGCAGAAGCAAACAGCACAUCGGUGUGGUAGCUACUGAACUAUAAUGUUUAAUAAAGUUUUCUAUAGUAGGAUGAUUUUAGAUUUACAGAAACAUUGCAAAGAUAGUACAAAAAAUUCCCAUAAACCUUCACCCAGCUUUUGUUGAUGUUAACAUAACCAUGGCAUAUUAGGCAAAACUAAGAAAUUAACAUUGUGACCUGCAAUUUUGAAGCUAAGAAAACUGUGACCAUUAGCGGUGACUUCAUUUGCCCACAGUUAACAACAACAGGUCAAUGAUUAAAUGAGCAUCAUAAUUCAGGUAUCCUAUCAGUUCUGUCUUCUUUCUACCAAAAUCCCAAUGAUUUCCAAACAUUCAUUUUCAAUGCGCUCUUUCCAUAGUCGGGGUUUCUUUGAACAAGCAGUUACUUUAAAAUUUAUCUUUAAAGAAUCACCUUUACUUUGAAGGGGCAGAUAAAACGGAUUUAUUUUACAUUUUAAAAAUCAUCUGUCGGGAUGAUACUGGCAGAUACUCAUCACAGAAAAGGCCCACACGCUGGAACACCUGUCUGUAUCUGUCCACAAGUUCAGGGUCACAAGAUAACCAGUGGAAGUCUACUGUUUACCAGGUUCCAAUUACUUCCCCUUUAGAUUCUAAAGCUAGCUUCUCUUGAUUUGGAGUCAAUCAGCACUGCGGGCCGCACCCCAGACUUUCUGACCCAGAAUCGAUCACUCAGCCAACGCACGUUUAUACAGCAACUAUUACAGGUCAGGUGUUGCCAGCAGCUUUCUGUCCUUCUAACGGAGGAGACUGGCGGAGGACACCAUGACUCCAGGGUGGGGAGGUGAAGGGUACCAACCAGGCCUGGGCAGCGUGAAACUCGAAGCGGAGGGGGUGGGGUGGGGAAGGCUUCCUAGAGAGGAUCUCUUUUGAGCUAGAUAACUUGGAAUUAGCCAGAUGAAAAAGGGGUGAACCAAACACCUCCAACAGAGGGCUCAGGGUGUUCAAAGAAACAAAAGCACCAACGAGGGGGCAUUUCACCUGGGAUGCCUUAGAGCCAACUAUGUGCUUGGAGUGUUGGGCAAUGAGGGGCGAGCUGGGCCACUCAAAGCCUGGUCCUUGGACCUGGAGUGCUGGCAUUGCCCUGAGCUGCUGAGAGCUGCCAGUGUACUGGCCCCACCCUGACACACGGAGUCAGAGGCUCUGGGCCUGAGGAAACCGUGUUUUUAAUAAGCUUGCCCAUUGAUUCUUAUCCACACUGAAGUCUAAGAAUCACUGAGAUAAUCAAGUCAACUGGCCCACAGAAUGCCAAACGCUCCGAAGAAAGUCAACCUGUAGCAAAUUUUAGAAGAUCUCAGAUGUCUUGGCUGGUGCUUUAUGGGCUUAUUUAUUUAUUUAUUUAUUUAUUUAUUUGUUUUGCUUUUUAGGGCCGCAUCUGUGGCAUAUGGAGGUUCCCAAGCUAGGGGUCAAAUGGGAGCUGCAGCUGCCAGCCUAUGCCACAGCUACAGCAAUGUGGGAUCCAAGCUGAGUCUGCAACCAACCCACACCACAGCUCAGGGCAAUGCUGGGUCCUUAAUCCACUGAGCGAGGCCAGGGAUCAAAUCUGAGUCCUCAUGGAUCCUAAUCGGAUUCAUUUCCGCUGUGCCACAAUGGGAAAUCCGGUCUUACUUUUUUAAACCUAACAGCAACCAGGAGGAAUUCGGUUGUAGAAAAUGGAAUCGUUAGAAGAUUUAAAGCCAAACAGGUGACUUCUAACGAGAUGUCUUAAGAGCCAGGCCAUGUUGUGUCUAUAAAUCAAGAUCACAUUUAUUUUUGUGAGGGGAAUGGCCUGUGUUGUCUGCCUGGGUGACCCGCACACCUAAUUAUAGCGGCAUUCACACUGCUGGCGACAGUGGACACGGUCUCCUGCUCAGGAGAUUAUCUUGUGGCUGAAUAGUUUUGAGCCAAUUUAAAUAAAACAAAACCGACUUACCUCAUUCUUUAUUCAUCACUAAUUAAAGACACCCUUCUGCUAGAGGGCAGGCAGGGUCUCUGCUUUCUUUCAAGUUGCAAACAAGCCCCAGAACAAAGAUGUCUCAGGGAUUGUGUCUAGUAAUGACUGUGUAACGUGGAUGCCACUUCACAGGUGUUUAGAAAGAGCACCACUGAAACCAAAAAGAUGGGACCACGGAAGUCUGUGUGUCACUACAUCAUUAGAAAACUGAGCUGCUGGGCCCCCUCCUCCUCUCUCCUCCUCUGAGCCCCUGAUGUCUACAGAACGGGCUGCUGGCAGCUCCCAUUUUACUGAACACCUGAGUAGAAAGCGCAGGAUGACAAUGACAGUCAUGACAGCGGUUACCCUUCCAUCGCCCUCCCCUCAAACCC
Sus scrofa (pig) is the source of this 5090-nucleotide long non-coding RNA. RefSeq lists it as uncharacterized. The record is from RefSeq and is a predicted model, not a curated record. NCBI's taxonomy places the organism in Eukaryota, Metazoa, Chordata, Mammalia, Artiodactyla, Suidae.